AAGGAAUAUUGGUCAAUGGACGAAAGUCUGAACCAGCCAUGCCGCGUGAAGGAUUAAGGUCCUCUGGAUUGUAAACUUCUUUUAUAUGGGACGAAAAAAGGUCUUUCUAGAUCACUUGACGGUACCAUAUGAAUAAGCACCGGCUAACUCCGUGCCAGCAGCCGCGGUAAUACGGAGGGUGCAAGCGUUAUCCGGAUUCACUGGGUUUAAAGGGUGCGUAGGCGGGUAGGUAAGUCAGUGGUGAAAUCCUGGAGCUCAACUCCAGAACUGCCAUUGAUACUAUCUAUCUUGAAUAUUGUGGAGGUAAGCGGAAUAUGUCAUGUAGCGGUGAAAUGCUUAGAUAUGACAUAGAACACCCAUUGCGAAGGCAGCUUACUACGCAUAUAUUGACGCUGAGGCACGAAAGCGUGGGGAUCAAAC
RNAcentral lists this ribosomal RNA (420 nucleotides) under uncultured Sediminibacterium sp. RNAcentral describes it as "bacterial SSU rRNA". It matches the Rfam family "Bacterial small subunit ribosomal RNA", at positions 356 to 773 of the family's 1533-position model. Lineage: Bacteria; Pseudomonadati; Bacteroidota; Chitinophagia; Chitinophagales; Chitinophagaceae. The record is from RNAcentral.